RNAcentral lists this ribosomal RNA (253 nucleotides) under uncultured bacterium. Its description in RNAcentral is "partial 16S ribosomal RNA". It matches the Rfam family "Bacterial small subunit ribosomal RNA", at positions 524 to 776 of the family's 1533-position model. The record is from RNAcentral.
GACGAAGGAUGCAAGCGUUAUCCGGAUUCAUUGGGUUUAAAGGGUGCGUAGGCGGACUUGUAAGUCAGUGGUGAAAUCUCUCAGCUUAACUGAGAAACUGCCAUUGAUACUGCAGGUCUAGAGUAUAGAUGACGUUGGCGGAAUAUGACAUGUAGUGGUGAAAUACUUAGAUAUGUCAUAGAACACCGAUUGCGAAGGCAGCUAACGAAACUAUAACUGACGCUGAGGCACGAAAGUGCAGGGAUCAAACAGG